GAAGCUAGGAGUAAAGUUAGGUGUAGCCUACAUGCUGAGAAACUGGUCAUGUAAUGUAAUCUGUACUGUUUUUGGCAUACAAUGUUGCUUAACUACAUUUCUUAGAGAAAAUGAGCUGUCUUUCCUAUGAGGCGUUCAGAUUUUAAUAACAACCAUUGGAACCAUUAGAAGAGCAGUGAAGACCAACCAACUUGAGCAACUGGACUAAAAGAGCAGGGAACACUUCAUAGAUUCUUUGGGAGAGUGGCUAGAAGGAAACCACUUAUGAGAUGAGCCAACAUAAGUCAUUCCUGGAGUUUGCUAGAAGCCAUGUGAUGACCUGAAAAGUUCUGGAGGAAAAUUGAAGUCUGAUGAGAUGAAAGGAAUGAAAAGAGCUGCCGGCAGCACUGCAGGCUGAACAAAUGCAGAUCAUUCCUCACCGCUGCUGUACCUCAGGAAUGUUUUGCCUUAUCUGUGGAAAACACUAAUCAUAAGAGAGCAUUAAAUAAAUGAAUGAAUACUAUUUGAAAAGCUGAAUAUGUAAUUAUUGGUAAUGUUUGUGGGGCUGUAGUCACAUUAAGGUUACAGAGGUUUGUUGCAUUAUUCAAACAGUCGGUCCUCUGUAUUGCCAUGAGCAAAUCUGUUGACUUCAUCCUGUCCACAAGCACUUAUUGUGCUGCUGAGUGCAGCAUUUAGCCCGUGAGACCCUGUGCUCUCUGUGUCUGGAUGUACAGUGGCCCCACUUAAAAUUGUAGAAAUUAUUUAUUCUACUAUGACUUUUACCUAGCUGGUUUCAAAGUGAUUUUAGUGUAUAUGUACAGAUGU
Onychostoma macrolepis is the source of this 804-nucleotide long non-coding RNA. RefSeq lists it as uncharacterized. Lineage: Eukaryota; Metazoa; Chordata; Actinopteri; Cypriniformes; Cyprinidae. The record is from RefSeq and is a predicted model, not a curated record. The transcript has 4 exons.